CAACGGGUGAGUAACGCGUAGGCAACCUGCCCUUCAGAGUGGGGACAACNCCUACGGAAAGGGGUGCUAAUACCGAAUGACGUUUCCUGGUCGCAUGACCUGGAAACCAAAGGCCGGCAACCGGUCACUGAAGGAUGGGCCUGCGUCUGAUUAGCUAGUUGUGGGGUAACGGCCCACCAAGGCGACGAUCAGUAGCCGGUCUGAGAGGAUGAACGGCCACAUUGGGACUGAGACACGGCCCAAACUCCUACGGGAGGCAGCAGUGGGGAAUCUUCCGCAAUGGGCGCAAGCCUGACGGAGCAACGCCGCGUGAGUGAAGAAGGUUUUCGGAUCGUAAAGCUCUGUUGAGAGGGACGAGAGAUAUAAUCAGGAAAUGGGUUAUAGAGGACGGUACCUUUCGAGGAAGCCACGGCUAACUACGUG
Molecule: ribosomal RNA, 423 nt
Filed under: uncultured bacterium
Lineage: Bacteria
Description: bacterial SSU rRNA
Rfam family: Bacterial small subunit ribosomal RNA
Source: RNAcentral